GAUGAACGCUGGCGGCGUGCCUAAUACAUGCAAGUCGAGCGAACGGACGAGAAGCUUGCUUCUCUGAUGUUAGCGGCGGACGGGUGAGUAACACGUGGAUAACCUACCUAUAAGACUGGGAUAACUUCGGGAAACCGGAGCUAAUACCGGAUGAUAUUUUGAACCGCAUGGUUCAAAAGUGAAAGACGGUCUUGCUGUCACUUAUAGAUGGAUCCGCGCUGCAUUAGCUAGUUGGUAAGGUAACGGCUUACCAAGGCAACGAUGCAUAGCCGACCUGGGAGGGUGAUCGGCCACAGUGGAACGGAGACACGGUCCAGACGCCUACGGGAGGGAGCAGGAGGGAAUCUUCCGCAAUGGGCGAAAGCCUGACGGAGCAAGGCCGCGUGAGUGAUGAAGGUCUGCGGAUCGUAAAACUCUGUUAUUAGGGAAGAACAUAUGUGUAAGUAACUGUGCACAUCUUGACGGUACCUAAUCAGAAAGCCACGGCUAACUACGUG
This 497-nucleotide ribosomal RNA is filed under the name uncultured bacterium. RNAcentral's name for it is "partial 16S ribosomal RNA". It matches the Rfam family "Bacterial small subunit ribosomal RNA", at positions 28 to 507 of the family's 1533-position model. The record is from RNAcentral.